AGUCAAAAGGAUAACAGUCCAGACUUCUGAUUAAGGUCCCUAAAGUAAUGCUAAGUGGAAAAAGAGGUGUCUUUACUUAUACAUCCAGGAGGUUUGCCUAGAAGCAGCAAUCCUUUAAAGAAAGCGUAACAGCUCACUGGACUAGCGAAGAUGCGCUGAAGAUGUAACGGGGCUAAGCAUUAUACCGAAAUCGAAGACCAGUGUAGUAAUACACUGUGUGGUAGGAGAGUGUUCUUACAGGAUGAAGCUACAUCGCGAGAUGUGGUCGACUAGUAAGAAGUAAAAAUGCUGACAUGAGUAACGCUUAUUGAUGAAAAUUCAAUAUAUCGAAACCCUAAGGAUUCCUACGCAACGUUCAUCGUCGUAGGGUUAGUCGGGACCUAAGGCUUAUCCAGAAGUGGAGAGUCGAUGGAUAACUGGUUAAUAUUCCAGUACUUAUAUAAAGAGUGAUGGAGUAACGCAUUGAGAUUUGUGAGAGCUCAUUAAGGAUUUGAGUCGAAAGAGUGAGGUUUUUAUAACCCUAGGUUAUAAAGGUAGUUGCAGGAAAAUCCACAGCUAUUGAUACUGAGCUUGAUCGGAAUUUGAUUCCUCGGAAUUAGAAAUUCUCAUCGUUUUGGUGCCGAGAAAAACUUCUAAACUUAAUCUUUAUGUAACCCGUACUCAGAUCAGACACUUGUGGGGUGGUAGAGAAUACUAAGAUAAUCGAGAUAAUUAAUGGGUAAGGAACUUGGCAAAUUAGCGGACGUACUUUCGAAAUAAGUCCUGUCCCGAGCAAUCGGGAUCGCAGCGAAAGAGAUGGGGGGAACUGUUUAUCACAAACACAGCUCGUUGCUAACUCGUAAGAGGAUGUAUAACGGGUGAUGCCUGUCCAAUGCCAGAAUGUUAUGCUCUCUUGUGCAAGCUCGAGGGUUAAGCACUGGUGAAUGACGGCCGUAACUAUGACGGUCCUAAGGUAGCGAAAUUCCUUGUCAGGUAAGUUCUGACGCGCAUGAAUGGCAUAAUCAUCCCCAUGCUGUCUUACCCUUAAACUCGGUGAAAUUACAUUCCCGGUAAAAAUGCCGGGUAGUCACAGUUAGACGGGAAGACCCUGUGAAGCUUUACUGUAGAUUGAUAUUGGAUUGUAGCAUGUCUUGCUCAGUAUAGGUGGGAGGCUUUGAUGUUUCAACUUCGGUUGGGGCGGAGCCAAUAGUGAGAUACCACCCAAGAUAUGUAGCAAUUCUAAUCCCUAGGUUGGGAGACAGUUUCAGUUGGACAGUUUACCUGGGGCGGGUGCCUCCUAAAAAGUAGCGGAGGCGUGCAAAGGUUUGCUUACUACGGAUGGAAACCGUGGUGAAUGUGUAUUCGCAUAAGCAAGCUUGACUGUGAGACUGACAGGUCGAGCAGAUACGAAAGUAGGCGAAAGUGAUCCGGAUCUUCCAAGUGGAAGGGGAUCCGCUCAACGGAUAAAAGUUACUCCGGGGAUAACAGGCUAAUGGAAUCUAAGCGUUCACAGCGACGAUUCCGUUUGGCACCUCGAUGUCGACUCGUCGCAUCCUGGGGCUGUAGAAGGUCCCAAGGGUUGGGUUGUUCACCCAUUAAAGCGGGACGCGAGUUGGGUUCAGAACGUCGUGAGACAGUUCGGUCCCUAUCUACUGUGACCGUAGGAUAUUUGAGAGAUGCUGACCCUAGUACGAGAGGACCGGGUUGGACGAGCCUCUGAUAGUACCAGUUGUUCCGCCAGGAGCACCGCUGGAUAGUUAAGCUCGGAAAAGGUAACCGCUGAAAGCAUCUAAGUGGGAAACUUGUCUCAAGAUUAGAUAUCCCUCUUCU
This 1809-nucleotide ribosomal RNA is filed under the name human oral metagenome. RNAcentral describes it as "bacterial LSU rRNA". It matches the Rfam family "Bacterial large subunit ribosomal RNA", at positions 1009 to 2821 of the family's 2925-position model. The record is from RNAcentral.